This 509-nucleotide ribosomal RNA is filed under the name Paenibacillus sp. Its description in RNAcentral is "bacterial SSU rRNA". It matches the Rfam family "Bacterial small subunit ribosomal RNA", at positions 73 to 565 of the family's 1533-position model. The record is from RNAcentral. Lineage: Bacteria; Bacillati; Bacillota; Bacilli; Caryophanales; Paenibacillaceae.
GAGAAGCUUGCUUCUUUGAUGCUUAGCGGCGGACGGGUGAGUAACACGUAGGCAACCUGCCCUCAAGCUUGGGACAACUACCGGAAACGGUAGCUAAUACCGAAUACAUGAUUUGUUCGCCUGAACGAAUUUGGAAAGACGGAGCAAUCUGUCACUUGAGGAUGGGCCUGCGGCGCAUUAGCUAGUUGGUGAGGUAACGGCUCACCAAGGCGACGAUGCGUAGCCGACCUGAGAGGGUGAUCGGCCACACUGGGACUGAGACACGGCCCAGACUCCUACGGGAGGCAGCAGUAGGGAAUCUUCCGCAAUGGACGCAAGUCUGACGGAGCAACGCCGCGUGAGUGAUGAAGGUUUUCGGAUCGUAAAGCUCUGUUGCCAGGGAAGAACGUCCGAUUUAGUAACUGAUACCGGAGUGACGGUACCUGAGAAGAAAGCCCCGGCUAACUACGUGCCAGCAGCCGCGGUAAUACGUAGGGGGCAAGCGUUGUCCGGAAUUAUUGGGCGUAAAG